AAUCAUCACAAAUUGUAUCAAGACUGAGAAAUCAAGAUGGAGAACAUGCUGGAAUGUGCCUUCAUAGUCUUGUGGCUUCAGCUUGGCUGGUUGAGUGGAGAAGACCAGGUGGAGCAGAGUCCUCAGACCCUGAGACUCCAGGAGGGAGACAGUCUCAGCCUCAACUGCAGUUACACGGUCAGCUAUUUUGGAGGGCUACAGUGGUACAGGCAGGAUCCUGGGAAAGGUCCCGAACUCCUCUUCCUCCUGUAUUCAGUUGGGGAUGAAAAGCAGAAAGAAAGACUAAAAGCCACGGUGUCAAAGGAGGGAAGUUCUCUGCACAUCACAGCCCCUAAACCUGAAGACUCAGCCACUUACCUCUGUGCCGUGGAGACACAGUGCUCCCCGGGCACCUGCAAGCCUGUACCAAAACCCUGCAGCUGCGGCUCUGGAAUAAGGGCAUGUCUUGUUUUUCCUCCUCGAAGAAGUGUUUACUUAGCACCCAAAACCUCUUUCUUAGUGGUCCUAUGGAGAAUGAAGUCUUCUGACAUAGCCAGAUGCCGCAUAGAUUCAGAAGGGACAGCUGUGAUAUGGAGUCUUGGUUUCUAG
Molecule: non-coding RNA, 588 nt
Organism: Diceros bicornis minor
Lineage: Eukaryota; Metazoa; Chordata; Mammalia; Perissodactyla; Rhinocerotidae
Source: the annotation of a RefSeq genome assembly